Molecule: ribosomal RNA, 471 nt
Filed under: uncultured Planctomycetota bacterium
Lineage: Bacteria; Pseudomonadati; Planctomycetota
Description: bacterial SSU rRNA
Rfam family: Bacterial small subunit ribosomal RNA
Source: RNAcentral
GGAUUAGGCAUGCAAGUCGAGCGGCAAGGUUGUUUUCGAAUGACCCUAGAGCGGCGGAAGGGAUAGGAAUUUAUAGGUAACAUGCCUCUUAGGUCUGGAUAGCGUCUGGAAACAGACGAUAAUACAGGAUGAGGUCUUCGGACCAAAGGUGGGAUUCCCCUAGGAGAUUGGCCUAUAACCUAUUAGCUAGUUGGUAGGGUAACGGCUUACCAAGGCGAUGAUGGGUACGGGGCGUGAGAGCGUGACCCCGAUCACUGGGACUGAGACACUGCCCAGACGCCUACGGGCGGCUGCAGUCGAGAAUCUUCGGCAAUGGACGGAAGUCUGACCGAGCGACGCCGCGUGUAUGAUGAAGGUCUUCGGAUUGUAAAAUACUGUCGAUAGGGCGGAAAUUUAGGAGGGCUAUCCCUCUUAUUUGACCUAUCUUUUGAGGAAGGACGGGCUAAGUUCGUGCCAGCAGCCGCGGUAAUA